AUUGAACGCUGGCGGCAUGCCUUACACAUGCAAGUCGAACGGCAGCACGGGGGCAACCCUGGUGGCGAGUGGCGAACGGGUGAGUAACAUAUCGGAACAUACCCUAGAGUGGGGGAUAACGUAGCGAAAGUUACGCUAAUACCGCAUACGAUCUAAGGAUGAAAGUGGGGGAUCUUCGGACCUCAUGCUCAUGGAGUGGCCGAUAUCUGAUUAGCUAGUUGGUGAGGUAAAGGCUCACCAAGGCGACGAUCAGUAGCUGGUUUGAGAGAACGACCAGCCACACUGGAACUGAGACACGGUCCAGACUCCUACGGAGGCAGCAGUGGGGAAUUUUGGACAAUGGGGGCAACCCUGAUCCAGCAAUGCCGCGUGAGUGAAGAAGG
RNAcentral lists this ribosomal RNA (383 nucleotides) under uncultured bacterium. Its description in RNAcentral is "bacterial SSU rRNA". It matches the Rfam family "Bacterial small subunit ribosomal RNA", at positions 30 to 414 of the family's 1533-position model. The record is from RNAcentral.